AUAUCAAUAAGCGGAGGAAAAGAAACCAACAGGGAUUGCCCCAGUAACGGCGAGUGAAGCGGCAAUAGCUCAAAUUUGAAAUCUGGCCCUUUCAGGGUCCGAGUUGUAAUUUGCAGAGGGCGCUUUGGCGUCGGCAGCAGCCUAAGUUCCUUGGAACAGGUCAUCAUAGAGGGUGAGAAUCCCGUAUGUGGCUGCUUGCCUUCACCGUGUAAAGCCCCUUCGACGAGUCGAGUUGUUUGGGAAUGCAGCUCUAAAUGGGAGGUAAAUUUCUUCUAAAGCUAAAUAUUGGCCAGAGACCGAUAGCGCACAAGUAGAGUGAUCGAAAGAUGAAAAGCACUUUGGAAAGAGAGUCAAAAAGCACGUGAAAUUGUUGAAAGGGAAGCGCUUGCAGCCAGACGUGCCCGCAGUUGCUCAUCCGGGGUUCUCCCCGGUGCACUCUUCUGCGGGCAGGCCAGCAUCAGUCCGGGCGGUUGGAGAAAGACCUGUGUCAUGUAGCUCUCUUCGGGGAGUGUUAUAGGGCAGGUGGAAUGCGACCAGCCUGGACUGAGGUCCGCGCAUCUGCUAGGAUGCUGGCGUAAUGGCUGUAAGCGGCCCGUCUUGAAACACGGACCAAGGAGUCUAACAUCUAUGCGAGUGUUUGGGUGUCAAGCCCGAGCGCGUAAUGAAAGUGAACGGAGGUGGGAACCCCUCGGGGUGCACCAUCGACCGAUCCUGAUGUCUUCGGAUGGAUUUGAGUAAGAGCAUAGCUGUUGGGACCCGAAAGAUGGUGAACUAUGCCUGAAUAGGGUGAAGCCAGAGGAAACUCUGGUGGAGGCUCGCAGCGGUUCUGACGUGCAAAUCGAUCGUCAAAUUUGGGCAUAGGGGCGAAAGACUAAUCGAACUAUCUAGUAGCUGGUUCCUGCCGAAGUUUCCCUCAGGAUAGCAGUAACGUUUUCAGUUUUAUGAGGUAAAGCGAAUGAUUAGAGGCCUGGGGGUUGAAACAACCUUCACC
RNAcentral lists this ribosomal RNA (991 nucleotides) under Uzbekistanica yakutkhanika. Its description in RNAcentral is "eukaryotic LSU rRNA". It matches the Rfam family "Eukaryotic large subunit ribosomal RNA", at positions 40 to 1052 of the family's 3401-position model. Lineage: Eukaryota; Fungi; Ascomycota; Dothideomycetes; Pleosporales; Melanommataceae. The record is from RNAcentral.